UACGUAGGGGGCAAGCGUUGUCCGGAUUUAUUGGGCGUAAAGAGCGUGUAGGCGGCCAUGCAGGUCCGUUGUGAAAACUCGAGGCUCAACCUCGAGACGCCGAUGGAAACCGCAUGGCUAGAGUCCGGAAGAGGAGAGUGGAAUUCCUGGUGUAGCGGUGAAAUGCGCAGAUAUCAGGAAGAACACCGGUGGCGAAGGCGGAUCUCUGGGCCUGUCCUGACGCUCAGGCGCGAAAACUAGGGGAGCAAACAGG
RNAcentral lists this ribosomal RNA (253 nucleotides) under uncultured bacterium. Its description in RNAcentral is "partial 16S ribosomal RNA". It matches the Rfam family "Bacterial small subunit ribosomal RNA", at positions 524 to 776 of the family's 1533-position model. The record is from RNAcentral.